Molecule: ribosomal RNA, 497 nt
Filed under: uncultured bacterium
Lineage: Bacteria
Description: partial 16S ribosomal RNA
Rfam family: Bacterial small subunit ribosomal RNA
Source: RNAcentral
GAUGAACGCUGGCGGCGUGCCUAAUACAUGCAAGUCGAGCGAACAGACGAGGAGCUUGCUCCUCUGACGUUAGCGGCGGACGGGUGAGUAACACGUGGAUAACCUACCUAUAAGACUGGGAUAACUUCGGGAAACCGGAGCUAAUACCGGAUAAUAUAUUGAACCGCAUGGUUCAAUAGUGAAAGACGGUUUUGCUGUCACUUAUAGAUGGAUCCGCGCCGCAUUAGCUAGUUGGUAAGGUAACGGCUUACCAAGGCGACGAUGCGUAGCCGACCUGAGAGGGUGAUCGGCCACACUGGAACUGAGACACGGUCCAGACUCCUACGGGAGGCAGCAGUAGGGAAUCUUCCGCAAUGGGCGAAAGCCUGACGUAGCAACGCCGCGUGAGUGAUGAAGGUCUUCGGAUCGUAAAACUCUGUUAUUAGGGAAGAACAAAUGUGUAAGUAACUAUGCACGUCUUGACGGUACCUAAUCAGAAAGCCACGGCUAACUACGUG